RNAcentral lists this ribosomal RNA (201 nucleotides) under Escherichia coli. Its description in RNAcentral is "partial 16S ribosomal RNA". It matches the Rfam family "Bacterial small subunit ribosomal RNA", at positions 1 to 209 of the family's 1533-position model. The record is from RNAcentral. Lineage: Bacteria; Pseudomonadati; Pseudomonadota; Gammaproteobacteria; Enterobacterales; Enterobacteriaceae.
AAAUUGAAGAGUUUGAUCAUGGCUCAGAUUGAACGCUGGCGGCAGGCCUAACACAUGCAAGUCGAACGGUAACAGGAAUCAGCUUGCUGAUUCGCUGACGAGUGGCGGACGGGUGAGUAAUGUCUGGGAAACUGCCUGAUGGAGGGGGAUAACUACUGGAAACGGUAGCUAAUACCGCAUAACGUCGCAAGACCAAAGAGG